RNAcentral lists this ribosomal RNA (201 nucleotides) under uncultured marine eukaryote. RNAcentral's name for it is "partial 18S ribosomal RNA". It matches the Rfam family "Eukaryotic small subunit ribosomal RNA", at positions 957 to 1157 of the family's 1831-position model. The record is from RNAcentral.
GCCAAGGAUGUUUUCAUUGAUCAAGAACGAAAGUUAGGGGAUCGAAGACGAUCAGAUACCGUCCUAGUCUUAACCAUAAACCAUGCCGACUAGAGAUUGGAGGUCGUUAUCUAUACGACUCCUUCAGCACCUUAUGAGAAAUCAAAGUCUUUGGGUUCCGGGGGGAAUAUGGUCGCAAGGCUGAAACUUAAAGGAAUUGAC